GGCGAACGGGUGAGUAACACGUGAGUAACCUGCCCUUGACUUUGGGAUAACUUCAGGAAACUGGGGCUAAUACCGGAUAGGAGCUCCUGCUGCAUGGUGGGGGUUGGAAAGUUUCGGCGGUUGAGGAUGGACUCGCGGCUUAUCAGCUUGUUGGUGGGGUAGUGGCUUACCAAGGCUUUGACGGGUAGCCGGCCUGAGAGGGUGACCGGCCACAUUGGGACUGAGAUACGGCCCAG
RNAcentral lists this ribosomal RNA (236 nucleotides) under uncultured Actinomycetales bacterium. RNAcentral's name for it is "partial 16S ribosomal RNA". It matches the Rfam family "Bacterial small subunit ribosomal RNA", at positions 97 to 334 of the family's 1533-position model. The record is from RNAcentral. Lineage: Bacteria; Bacillati; Actinomycetota; Actinomycetes; Actinomycetales.